UGCCAGCCGCCGCGGUAAUACGGAGGGGGUUAGCGUUGUUCGGAAUUACUGGGCGUAAAGCGCACGUAGGCGGACUGUUAAGUUAGAGGUGAAAUCCCGGGGCUCAACCCCGGAACUGCCUUUAAUACUGGCAGUCUAGAGUUCGAGAGAGGUGAGUGGAAUUCCGAGUGUAGAGGUGAAAUUCGUAGAUAUUCGGAGGAACACCAGUGGCGAAGGCAGCUGACUGGGCAUGUUCUGACGCUCAGGUACGAAAGCGUGGGUAGCGAACGGGAUUAGAUA
This 279-nucleotide ribosomal RNA is filed under the name uncultured bacterium. RNAcentral's name for it is "partial 16S ribosomal RNA". It matches the Rfam family "Bacterial small subunit ribosomal RNA", at positions 506 to 784 of the family's 1533-position model. The record is from RNAcentral.